Molecule: ribosomal RNA, 486 nt
Filed under: uncultured bacterium
Lineage: Bacteria
Description: partial 16S ribosomal RNA
Rfam family: Bacterial small subunit ribosomal RNA
Source: RNAcentral
AUUGAACGCUGGCGGCAUGCCUUACACAUGCAAGUCGAACGGCAGCACGGGUGCUUGCACCUGGUGGCGAGUGGCGAACGGGUGAGUAAUACAUCGGCACAUGUCCUGUAGUGGGGGAUAGCCCGGCGAAAGCCGGAUUAAUACCGCAUCCGAUCUACGGCUGAAAGCGGGGGACCUUCGGGCCUCGCGCUAUAGGGUUGGCCGAUGGCUGAUUAGCUAGUUGGUGGGGUAAAGGCCUACCAAGGCGACGAUCAGUAGCUGGUCUGAGAGGACGACCAGCCACACUGGGACUGAGACACGGCCCAGACUCCUACGGGAGGCAGCAGUGGGGAAUUUUGGACAAUGGGCGAAAGCCUGAUCCAGCAAUGCCGCGUGUGUGAAGAAGGCCUUCGGGUUGUAAAGCACUUUUGUCCGGAAAGAAAUCCUUGGGCCUAAUACGGUCGGGGGAUGACGGUACCGGAAGAAUAAGCACCGGCUAACUACGUG